AUGUUCACUUCUGAGCACACAGAUGAACACUGGGACAACACAGAGAUUAGCAUGGCCCCUGCACGUGGUGACAGGCAAAUGCAGGUCAUGCUCCAUGCUUAA
Molecule: small nuclear RNA, 102 nt
Filed under: Meriones unguiculatus (Mongolian gerbil)
Lineage: Eukaryota; Metazoa; Chordata; Mammalia; Rodentia; Muridae
Source: RNAcentral